This 72-nucleotide transfer RNA is filed under the name Marmota monax (woodchuck). RNAcentral's name for it is "tRNA.Undet". Lineage: Eukaryota; Metazoa; Chordata; Mammalia; Rodentia; Sciuridae. The record is from RNAcentral.
UUGGGGUUGGCCUAGUGGUAGAGUGCUUGCUAGCAUGUUUGAGGCGCUGUGUUCGAUUCUCAGCACCGCAUA